RNAcentral lists this unclassified non-coding RNA (201 nucleotides) under Hevea brasiliensis (rubber tree). The record is from RNAcentral. Lineage: Eukaryota; Viridiplantae; Streptophyta; Magnoliopsida; Malpighiales; Euphorbiaceae.
GCUGAGGCACCUGCCAUUGCAAUGCCCAACAACAUUGAUGAAGUCGCUUCCACCGAUCCUUGGUCGUUCGACCAGGCCAACCUGGCCUUCACCGGUUUCGAUACCUUUGAUAUCCCUUCUACGUUUCCCAACUGGAUCUAGUUUCCGCCAGGCUAGCAUCGUAACAUGUAUUUUCACGACGCCAUGAGUCAUGAAGUCUAG